UUGAUAUAUGGUUAUGUAUUAAUAAUGUUAUACCAAAUAUUGUGUUGCGCUCUCAUUGUGAUUUUUCUAUUUUUCAAAUAUUCUAUCAAUUCAAUUAAUAGCAUACAUCAAUCUUACACUAAAUAAAAAAGAAAUAAUUUACCAUAUAUAUAAUCAUAUAUUUCCUUUAUUCAUUAAAGUGUGUAGGUUUAGCUUAAUUUCUAAAAAUACACACAUUCGCAAAUGUUCUUCUUACACUUUGGAAACUCAGGAAAUUGACACAUAGAUUCGGGACAAUCUGCAUCAGAAUGGCAUGUAAUUAUUCCUAAGAUGUCAAAUAAGAAAAAUUAUAUGUUAAUAAUAAAUAUAAAAAAUACUAGGUAUGAAAUAAAGAAAAUAUGAGAAAAAGUUGACAAAGUGGACUUACCACCAAUUACAGUGUUGAAUAAGAAAAUAAAAACAAUCAUAAUAACACAAAGAAAUCUGUUAAAUCCAGACAUAUUUUUUCUCGUUUUCAUGUAGAAACAGAAAG
This 511-nucleotide long non-coding RNA is filed under the name Lathyrus oleraceus (garden pea). Its description in RNAcentral is "Pisum sativum (pea) long non-coding RNA (PSAT_LNC000323)". Lineage: Eukaryota; Viridiplantae; Streptophyta; Magnoliopsida; Fabales; Fabaceae. The record is from RNAcentral.